RNAcentral lists this small RNA (86 nucleotides) under Pseudomonas fluorescens. RNAcentral's name for it is "isrK". It matches the Rfam family "isrK Hfq binding RNA". Lineage: Bacteria; Pseudomonadati; Pseudomonadota; Gammaproteobacteria; Pseudomonadales; Pseudomonadaceae. The record is from RNAcentral.
GUCGCUGCCAAUUCAGCGACCGGGCUUGGUAACCCGAUGGAAUAAGGCGCAACAGCGCCCCAAACACGUUUGCAGGCGUUUUUUUU